Molecule: ribosomal RNA, 320 nt
Filed under: uncultured eukaryote
Lineage: Eukaryota
Description: partial 18S ribosomal RNA
Rfam family: Eukaryotic small subunit ribosomal RNA
Source: RNAcentral
CCCCUAGAUGUUCUGGGCCGCACGCGCGCUACACUGAACAGUUCAACAAGUCUUAACCUUGGCCGAUAGGUCUGGGUAAUCUUUGAACGCUGUUCGUGAUUGGGAUAGACCUUUGCAAUUAUGGGUCUUCAACGAGGAAUUCCUAGUAAACGCAAGUCAUCAGCUUGCAUUGAUUACGUCCCUGCCCUUUGUACACACCGCCCGUCGCUCCUACCGAUUGAAUGAUCCGGUGAAAUCUCGGGACGGCGGCUUGGUCGCUUGCGUCCGACUGCUGAAACUUGAUUAAACCAUAUCAUUUAGAGGAAGGUGAAGUCGUANCA